RNAcentral lists this unclassified non-coding RNA (480 nucleotides) under Hevea brasiliensis (rubber tree). Lineage: Eukaryota; Viridiplantae; Streptophyta; Magnoliopsida; Malpighiales; Euphorbiaceae. The record is from RNAcentral.
CUGGCUUUGUUUGAAUGGACAGGUCAAACGAUUUUAACACAACACAAUGUGGAACGAUGCGCUAUUUCCACUCGUGGGAAGACUGGGUAAACCACCCGUAAUCCAUUAAUAUUUUAACCAGUUUCUGCGCAUGCAUACAUGAUCACCCAAUUCAUACAAGUGCAUAUCCCAGCUGUUUUAUUGCAAUUCCUAAUAAAAAAGAUUGUUGGUGGCUUUGGAUCUGUAAUUGAAGCAGUGAAACCCAUUAACCCAAUGAGCAUCUGUCUCUUUUUUAUUAGGAAUUGCAAUAAAACAGCUAAGUAGGCACAUGAUGAAAUUGGUGCUUUUUGAGCCACAAUUCCAGCAGCACGUCGUUUUGUCAAGAAAAGGAUCAGACAUGCCAUUAUAAACAUUGAACUACCAGCAGGCAGUAACAUGAUUAGGCCGCAAAUAUGAUUAAUCCAUUUGCAUUAGCCAGGCCUAAUAACUCCAACUUUAAAG